UACGUAGGGUGCGAGCGUUAAUCGGAAUUACUGGGCGUAAAGUGUGCGCAGGCGGCCGAGCAAGUCGAGUGUGAAAACCCCGAGCUUAACUUGGGAACUGCGCUCGAAACUACUUGGCUAGAGUGUGGCAGAGGGAGGUGGAAUUCCACGUGUAGCGGUGAAAUGCGUAGAGAUGUGGAGGAACACCGAUGGCGAAGGCAGCCUCCUGGGCCAACACUGACGCUCAUGCACGAAAGCGUGGGGAGCAAACAGG
Molecule: ribosomal RNA, 253 nt
Filed under: uncultured bacterium
Lineage: Bacteria
Description: partial 16S ribosomal RNA
Rfam family: Bacterial small subunit ribosomal RNA
Source: RNAcentral